Long non-coding RNA from Prionailurus viverrinus (fishing cat), 805 nucleotides. RefSeq lists it as uncharacterized. The transcript is spliced from 4 exons. The record is from RefSeq and is a predicted model, not a curated record. NCBI's taxonomy places the organism in Eukaryota, Metazoa, Chordata, Mammalia, Carnivora, Felidae.
AAUCAUCCUGGGAAGGGCCCGUUCAAAAACACAACUCUAUCAGUGGUCUCUGCUUUCUUCUGAGCCAUCCUUCCCAAUGGAAGUGGUGGUAGGAGGCCCCACUGGCCAGGUCAGGCAGGAUGCCUUUCCCGAGCCCUGGGCGGAGUCCUGCUGUGGGUACCAUCCCCCAGAAGCUGGCCUUGGAAAUGAAGUCCAAGUGGUGUGGCUGGCUUCAGAUAAGGCUUCAUCAGGAACUCUAAAUGAUGUCAUCAGGACCCGGUGUUCCCUGUUGUCUUUGGCCUCAGCUCUUCUCCAGAAUCACUGUGAAAGUCAAGGCUCUAGGUUGAGCUUUUCGGAGCGUCCCCGUAAGUCACACUGAGGAACUGGGCCACCAAGAGAGCGGCUGUGUCUUCUGCAAUCAGAAGGCACUGCCAACAAUGCAUUCAGAAGACACCCCAGUCGUGAAACCCUCUUCCAGCAGCUCCAGAAGCACGGUGUACCUGACAUGAUCCAGGCACACUGGGUGCCCACGUCCUUCCUCUCAACACCCACCAAGCCAGCACCUGGACCCUUGAGUUUUGCUGACACCAUUGAGAAAAUUUCAACCUACUGAAAAAUUAGAAGAGGAAUACAAUGAGCACCUAUGAACGUUUCACCUAGAUUCGUCAACCAUUGACAUUUUGCCACAUUUGCUUUCUUUCCCUCUCUCUUACAGGAAGUUAGUUGCAAGUUUGCUGACGAUUUCCUCUGACCAGAUGAGCUAUUAUCUCACAAAAGCAAGGACGGUCUCCUCUAUUAUCACUAUUACCACACUCAAUAAAUUUAA